Molecule: RNA transcript, 2992 nt
Organism: Triticum aestivum (bread wheat)
Lineage: Eukaryota; Viridiplantae; Streptophyta; Magnoliopsida; Poales; Poaceae
Gene name: glycerol-3-phosphate dehydrogenase [NAD(+)]
Exons: 2
Source: RefSeq, a predicted model, not a curated record
UCCCUCCCGGCAAAAACGGCACACGACGACGGCUUCUCAGGCGCCGGCGCGCACCACGGGGCUCCACGCGACGCGAGCACCGCCAUUUCGCCGCCGCUCGCCGGGCGGCGAACCCGCCACCUGCUCGCGCCGUCUCCAUGCCUCUGCUCGCCCCCGGCAUCAUCCUUCGCGACGCGCGGACGCCGCGGGGGUUCGUCCAGCUCCUCGCCUCCUCCUCCUCCCCGCUUCCGCCAAGCCCGUCCGCCGCGGCGCAGUGCCAUGGGCUGGCCACCAAGCUCGGCCUCGCGGCCAGCAACGUCUUCGCGGGCACCGCCCUCCUCGCCUUCUACUGCCGCUGCCGCCGCCCGCGCGACGCCCGGCGGCUGUUCGACGAAAUGCCCGAGAGGAGCGGCGUCACCUGGAGCGCGCUCGUCUACGGCCACGCGCGGUCCAGCGCGCCCGGCCUCGCCGUGGAGGCGUUCGGACGCAUGGUGCGCGCCGGCUUCUCCCCCACGGCGGCGGCCGUGUCCAGCGCCCUUGUCGCGUGCUCGAGGAUGGAGGACGCCCGCGUAGGGGCGAUGCUCCAUGCCGCUGGCCUCAAGUGCGGCGGCAGCGUCUGUGGCAGCGUCGUCGUCGGGACUGCGUUGGUGGACAUGUACGCCAAAUGCCGUGAUGUUUCGGCUGCUCAGCGGGUUCUUGAGGAGAUGGAAGAGAAGAACGUGGCCACUUUUACGGCUCUUGUGGGCGGGUUCGCCUCAGCCGGAAGACCUCGCGAGGCCAUGGUGUUGGUCAGGGAGAUGGAACAGUCAGGGGUGGCACCAAAUAUGAUGACAUACAGCAGCCUUCUCAGCUCAUUUGCGGGUCCUGAAGACCUCAAUCAUGGGAGGCAAGCGCAUUGUGCGGUGCUAAAGAAGGGUCUCGAGCACAAUCCGUAUGUUCUGUCCACUCUUAUGACCAUGUACUCCAAGUGUGGCAUCUUAGAUGAUUUCAGGAAGGUGCAGAUGGCUGUUUCAUGCCAGGAUCAGGUGUCGCUCAAUUCCGUGAUCUCGGGGCUCUCCUGUUUGGGAAGAGGCGACGAGGCGUUUGAACAGUUCUUGGAGAUGAGACGGCAUGGCGCUGACACAGAUAUGUUCACCUUUGGCAGCAUGCUGAAGGCUAUAGGGAGCUCAUCCUCGCUGCUGGAGGGAAGACAAGUCCAUGCUCUGAUCCUCAAAACUGGGUAUGAGUCUGAUGUGAAUGUCCAGAACGGUUUGAUCUCCAUGUACGCCAGGCGCGGCGAGAUAGGGGAGUCCAGGGAUGUUUUCGCUUCGGUGGAAGCGCCUGACUUGGUCUCCUGGAAUUCGCUUCUGACAGGCUAUGCUCAACAUGGUUAUGGCAAAGAGGUGGUUGAGGUGUUUGAACAGAUGAGGAGACUGAAUGUUCAGCCAGACAACACAACCUUCUUGUUGGUGCUUACAGCUUGCAGCCACGCCGGUUUGGUGGAUACAGGGUUGGAGUACUUCAACUUGAUGAAAACAAACGGGUUUCUCGCAGGGGCGCGGCUAGAGCACUACGCGUGCGUGGUCGAUCUUCUCGGUCGAGCAGGCCAUCUCCAAGAAGCCGAGGCUUUGAUCAACGACAUGCCUAUUGAACCUGGCGUCUCGGUGUACAGAGCUCUGCUUAGUGCCUGCCAGAUCCACGGCAACCUUGAGAUCGCGAUCCGGGUGACCACACGCCUGAUCGAGCUCUACCCGCACGACUCCUCUGCCCAUGUUCAGCUGUCAAAGGCCUUUGCCGGUGAUGGCCACUGGGGUGAUGCUGCCGAGGUCAGGGAGGCCAUGGCAGGUAAAGGGAUAGUGAAGAACCCUGCUUGGAGCUGUGUCGAGGACCGGGUACAGGUUGGAUAAGAAGGUUGAGAUCCCAUAAAUUUGCCGUUGUUAACUGGGAGUGACUUAAUGGUCAGCUUUAUUGUAGUGUUAACUGAAGGUAAUGCCAGAAACCACUCAUAAAUCCAAUGAACCUCUGAAAUCUGUCUGAUAAAUUUCGGAGAGCAGAGAUGGCUCAUGGCAUCAAUGGAUAAGAAAGCACAGAUCAUGUGCCAUCACAGUAUCCUGUACUUAUACGGCAUUAAAGCACAUGAAUUACAGCACAUUUGAUAAAAUUUCCUGAUAUUGCAAGGAUUUUGCGCUACUGAAACCAAGACCACUCGAGUGCUGGGUAACCAAAGCCUAUGGUUUAAACUGUCAGGACCCGAAUCUGAUGCAUGAAGAAAACAGGUUGUUAUGUCAGACCUAUAAUCGUUUUUAGGGAUAUCAACACCUGUACCUCAGUUAACUGAUACAGGCUAGUACUCCCUCCGUUCCGAAUUACUUGUCGCAGGUAUGGAUGUAUCUAGAUGUAUUUUAGUUCUAGAUACAUCCAUUUCUGCGACGAGUAAUUUGGAACGGAGGGAGUAGAUAAGAAGGCAAAGACCUUUGACAGCAAUGUUGAUAAAAAUCCCUGAUACUCCAAGAGUUCAUGCUGCUGGAAACAAGAUAUCGGACCGCCGACUGACGAAAAGCUAAGAUUAAAUUCAUGAGGACCCCAGGUUUGACACAUGAAGAUGAAGAGCAGCUUAAUUCUCCAAAUUCUGUGUGCACGCGCGCACGCAGGCAGGCAGCUUGGUGCCACCUGAAGCAUGGCUGGGCCGGCCGGGCCUUUCUGCCUUGGGCCAGAACACACGUGCGCAGGCUCCCCUCCGAUACCACCGAGGCGAGGAGGAGGAGGAGAGAGCGACCACGGCUUCCCACCACCAGAUCGACCGACGAAUCCUCUUCCUCCUCCUCCGCGCCCUCGCCUCCUGUCGCCACCGCAAGCAAGGCAAGGCAAUGCCGGCGGCGGCGGCCUCGUUGUUGCGGGCGGCAAACCGCGGGUAGACAGGCGCCAAAUCUUGGGGAAGCCCGCCCGCCCCCUCCUAACAUUCUUCACCGUUUCUUCUUUAUAAAAAUCCUCUCUUGGCUCUUCCUCCCCGAUUCUGUAUAUAUUCGCUGCUGCU